UACAAGAGUUGAAAAACUCCCUAAACCCACUGUGAACCUACCUGUAUUUGUUGCUUCGGCGGGCUGCCCCAGGGCGGGGUUCUAGGCCUUAUAGGUGCCCGCCGACGGCUCCCUACAAACUCUUUUGUCAUUUGGGUGCUCUGAGUGAAGAUCAAAUGAGUCAAAACUUUCAACAACGGAUCUCUUGGUUCUGGCAUCGAUGAAGAACGCAGCGAAAUGCGAUAGGUAAUGUGAAUUGCAGACUUCCAGUGAAUCAUCGAAUCUUUGAACGCACAUUGCGCCCCUUAGCAUUCUAAUGGGCAUGCCUGUCCGAGCGUCAUUUCAACCACUCAGGCCCCUACGGCCUGGCGUUGGGGCAUCUACGGCGUGAAACCGUAGGCCCUGAAAGACAGUGGCGGCAUCCGCUGGCACUCCGGGCGCAGUAGAAUCUCCUUCUCGUCCAGGACGUCCUGCGGGCUGCCGGCCGUAAAACAGCCCCAAAAAUUACAAGGUUG
This 494-nucleotide unclassified non-coding RNA is filed under the name Sebacinales sp. 4 CG-2012. RNAcentral's name for it is "sequence contains ITS1, 5.8S rRNA gene, ITS2". The stretch from base 165 to 319 matches the Rfam family "5.8S ribosomal RNA". RNAcentral also lists the same sequence under 1 other name. The record is from RNAcentral. Lineage: Eukaryota; Fungi; Basidiomycota; Agaricomycetes; Sebacinales.